This 74-nucleotide transfer RNA is filed under the name Myceligenerans pegani. RNAcentral describes it as "tRNA-Leu". It matches the Rfam family "tRNA". Rfam says of the family: Transfer RNA (tRNA) molecules are approximately 80 nucleotides in length. Lineage: Bacteria; Bacillati; Actinomycetota; Actinomycetes; Micrococcales; Promicromonosporaceae. The record is from RNAcentral.
GCCCCCAUAGCCCAACUGGUAGAGGCAGCCGGCUUAAACCCGGCCGAGUACGGGUUCGAAUCCCGUUGGGGGCA